RNAcentral lists this transfer RNA (64 nucleotides) under Anaedus unidentatus. RNAcentral's name for it is "tRNA-Pro". Lineage: Eukaryota; Metazoa; Arthropoda; Insecta; Coleoptera; Tenebrionidae. The record is from RNAcentral.
CAAGAAAUAGUUUAAUAAAAAUAUUAGUUUUGGAGACUUAAGAUGGAUAAUAAUCUUUUCUUGA